UGACGCUUUACAAGCCCACCAAACCUAAGAUCCGUACGGGCCUUGAGAGAGGAAGCCCGGAGAAGGUCACUGAGAAACUGGACCUAGCCCUACGGGGUGCAGCAGGCGCGUAACCUCUACAAUGCACGCAAGUGUGAUAGGGGGAUCCCAAGUGCUCAUGUUUUCAUGGGCUUUUGCCAAGAGUAAAAAUCUUGGCGAAUAAGGGGUGGGUAAGACUGGUGCCAGCCGCCGCGGUAACACCAGCGCCCCAAGUGGCAACCGCGAUUAUUGGGCCUAAAGCGUUCGUAGCCGGCUGAGUGAAUCUUUUGUGAAAUUGUCAAGCUUAACUUGAUAGCGCGCAGGAGAGACUGCUCAGCUAGGGACCGGGAGGAGUUAGAAGUAUUCCGGGGGGAGCGGUAAAAUGUUAUAAUCCUCGGAAGACUACCUGUGGCGAAAGCGUCUAACCAGAACGGAUCCGACGGUCAGGAACGUAAGCCAGGGGAGCAAAACGGAUUAGAUACCCGAGUAGUCCUGGCUGUAAACUCUGUGAGCAAGGUGUUGCAUAUUCUACAUGAAUGUGCAGUACCGAAACGAAGGUGUUAAGCUCACCGCCUGGGAAGUACGGUCGCAAGACUGAAACUUAAAGGAAUUGGCGGGGGAGCACUACAAGGGGUGCGGCGUGCGGUUUAAUCUAAUUCCACACAGAGAAUCUCACCAGGAGCGACGGCAGAAUGAAAGUCAUGCUGAAGACAUUACUUGACGAGCCGAGAGGUAGUGCAUGGCCGCCGUCAGCUCGUGCCGUAAGGUGUCCUGUUAAGUCAGGCAACGAGCAAGACCUGUAUCCACAAUUGCUAUCGGAUCCUCUAGGAUGACUGGGCACUUUGUGGGGACUGCCUCGGAAACGAGGAGGAAGGUGCAGGCAACGGUAGGUCUGUAUGCUCCGAAUCUCCUGGGCUACACGCGCGCAACAAUGGUAGGGACAAUGGGAUACGACUCCGAAAGGAGAAGUUAAUCCUCGAAACCCUAUCCAAGUCCGGAUUGAGGAUUGUAACUCAUCCUCAUGACGAUGGAAUCCCUAGUAAU
RNAcentral lists this ribosomal RNA (1062 nucleotides) under uncultured euryarchaeote. RNAcentral's name for it is "bacterial SSU rRNA". It matches the Rfam family "Archaeal small subunit ribosomal RNA", at positions 234 to 1298 of the family's 1478-position model. The record is from RNAcentral. Lineage: Archaea; Methanobacteriati; Methanobacteriota.